RNAcentral lists this long non-coding RNA (711 nucleotides) under Mus musculus (house mouse). RNAcentral's name for it is "long non-coding RNA chr14:7422944-7423655". The record is from RNAcentral. Lineage: Eukaryota; Metazoa; Chordata; Mammalia; Rodentia; Muridae.
GCUCCUCCCUGCAGGUCUCUGUCAUUCAGAAAACAUCAAAGUGGGGUGAGUAUACUGUCAUGGAUAGAUACAAGUUAUACUCAUGCGUUUGUAAGUAAAACCUUCCAGAACCUACAAAGCCUUUGUGGUCUCCUCUCUAGCAAUAUGCUGGCAGCUUCCCUUCACUCAUUUUCUAUCUUGAACCUGAAGGGAAGCUUGAUUUCCCCAUCGUUUAGCCAGGAAUAUCUACGCCACUAAACAAUAUAUCGUUUAGAGUUACAUGGUUGUGAAAUUUGUUCUCAAAAUAGUUAUUGCAUUUAUUGAUUUUUGCAUGUAUAUAUGUGCAUGGGCAAGAUUGUGCUAUAGCAUGUGUGUGGGGCCAAGGACAACAUGCACUAGCAGGUUCUGUCAUGCUACCACAUCCAUCCCUGGGAUCAAACUCUAGCUGUCAAUCCUGGCACACUCUGGACUCACUGAGUUAUAUUAUCAACUCCCAGUUUGAAAUUCUAUGCAUUUACUUCACUUUUGUGUUUAGAUUUCAUGUGUAUAUAACAUGCUUGUUUGUUAUAGAGUUUUACCUGUGUGGCUGCUCUGGUAACUGACUGCAUCCUCCAUUCUAUUGUAUAAGGAAAGCACAAUUUAUUUCGUAGUUCUCUAGUUGACAGUCAUUUGAAUUGUGUUCACCUUUGGUCACGAAAAUGGUGUUUUCAAUAAAUCCUAGGCACACAUUUC